This 497-nucleotide ribosomal RNA is filed under the name uncultured bacterium. RNAcentral describes it as "partial 16S ribosomal RNA". It matches the Rfam family "Bacterial small subunit ribosomal RNA", at positions 28 to 507 of the family's 1533-position model. The record is from RNAcentral.
GAUGAACGCUGGCGGUGUGCCUAAUACAUGCAAGUCGAGCGAACAGACGAGGAGCUUACUCCUCUGACGUUAGCGGCGGACGGGUGAGUAACACGUGGAUAACCUGCCUAUAAGACUGGGAUAACUUCGGGAAACCGGAGCUAAUACCGGAUAACAUGUUGAACCGCAUGGUUCAACAGUGAAAGACGGUCUUGCUGUCACUUAUAGAUGGAUCCGCGUCGCAUUAGCUAGUUGGUAAGGUAACGGCUUACCAAGGCAACGAUGCGUAGCCGACCUGAGAGGGUGAUCGGCCACACUGGAACUGAGACACGGUCCAGACUCCUACGGGAGGCAGCAGUAGGGAAUCUUCCGCAAUGGGCGAAAGCCUGACGGAGCAACGCCGCGUGAGUGAAGAAGGUCUUCGGAUCGUAAAACUCUGUUAUUAGGGAAGAACAAAUGUGUAAGUAACUAUGCACGUCUUGACGGUACCUAAUCAGAAAGCCACGGCUAACUACGUG